ACGAACGCUGGCGGCAGGCUUAACCCCUGCAAGUCGAGCGCCCCGCAAGGGGAGCGGCAGACGGGUGAGUAACGCGUGGGAACGUACCUUUUGGUUCGGAACAACUCCGGGAAACUGGAGCUAAUACCGGAUAAGCCCUAACGGGGAAAGAUUUAUCGCCGAAAGAUCGGCCCGCGUCUGAUUAGCUAGUUGGUGUGGUAACGGCUCACCAAGGCGACGAUCAGUAGCUGGUCUGAGAGGAUGAUCAGCCACACUGGGACUGAGACACGGCCCAGACUCCUACGGGAGGCAGCAGUGGGGAAUAUUGGACAAGGGGCGCAAGCCUGAUCCAGCCAUGCCGCGUGAGUGAUGAAGGCCUUAGGGUUGUAAAGCUCUUUUGUCCGGGAAGAUAAUGACUGUACCGGAAGAAUAAGCCCCGGCUAACUUCGUG
RNAcentral lists this ribosomal RNA (430 nucleotides) under uncultured bacterium. RNAcentral's name for it is "partial 16S ribosomal RNA". It matches the Rfam family "Bacterial small subunit ribosomal RNA", at positions 29 to 507 of the family's 1533-position model. The record is from RNAcentral.